This 398-nucleotide ribosomal RNA is filed under the name uncultured bacterium. RNAcentral describes it as "bacterial SSU rRNA". It matches the Rfam family "Bacterial small subunit ribosomal RNA", at positions 29 to 430 of the family's 1533-position model. The record is from RNAcentral.
AUUGAACGCUGGCGGCAUGCUUUACACAUGCAAGUCGAACGGCAGCGCGGGGGCAACCCUGGCGGCGAGUGGCGAACGGGUGAGUAAUGCAUCGGAACGUAUCCUGUAAUGGGGGGAUAACGUAGCGAAAGUUACGCUAAUACCGCAUACGCUCGAGAGAGGAAAGUGGGGGAUCGCAAGACCUCACGUUAUAGGAGCGGCCGAUGUCCGAUUAGCUAGUUGGUGGGGUAAAGGCCUACCAAGGCGACGAUCGGUAGCUGGUCUGAGAGGAUGAUCAGCCACACUGGGACUGAGACACGGCCCAGACUCCUACGGGAGGCAGCAGUGGGGAAUUUUGGACAAUGGGCGAAAGCCUGAUCCAGCCAUGCCGCGUGCGGGAGAAGGCCUCGGUUGUAACG